UUCAACUCCUUCUGUACAAAGCACAGCAUCUGUAGCAGUCCUGCGGCAGCAAAGACAACGCCAAGCUCACUAGAAAGGAUGCAUGAGCCAUUUAGUCUGAAGCCAGACUGGAGCAUUAUGCACUGAAUUGGCCCCACAUCAACCAUGUUGGUGGCCAUACACAACAGGCCGAAAGUGGAGGAAAAACGUAUUCACAGAAAGAAGUUAAUUUCCCUUUCUCACAUUUGCAGUACACUGAAGUUCUGGUCUCUUCAAGAAGCUUGAAUGGAAGGAGGAAGAAGCAGGCCUGAACUAGCCAACACUGUGUUUUCAUUUAUACCAAGGAAGUGUUAAUGAUACAUGUGGGGUCUCUAUGAUCUGGUAAUAUACAGCUCCCACACUGCUCAUCUUAUAAAUGUCCACAGGGAUUGUUCAAUCUGCCCUCAGUAUAUAGAACAAAUCUUCUAGGCUGUCCCUCAAAUGGCGGUACCAAUUCUGCAAAUAGUCAUUAGUACUAGGUUUGUUUAAACAGGCUUUCUUUUAUGAGGCAACAUCCCAUUUUAUGACAAUCAUGCUAUUUAUAGACAAAGGCAUACCUUGGUCAUUUCAGGAUCACAGUACAAACUCCUUGCUUGCUUGGGCAGGAUGUGGGCUAAUUCUGAAGGUGCUAAUGAAGGGGAUUGUUGCUAAUGAUUUGAACACCUAUACCAAAAUUGGUUGAAAUUGGUUUUAGCAAAUACUACAGCAGAACAGAAAAAUUGCAUGUCUCCAUAUUACGAUGCCAUUGCUUCUGCAAUGGCAUCUAUAACUUUCUACUGUCUACCUCUAAAGGGUCAAUGAUUCACCUGAAAAGUUGUUGAGAGACUAUUCUUUCUUGUCUUUUGAUGCACACCCUGGUCCCUAAUCUCAGUUUCCAUGCCAGCUCAGUGGGUUGCUUUACAUUAAUACGAGGUGGAUAAUUUUUUAAAACAGGAAAUGCUUUUCCCCUUCUAGUCGUCUUUAUCCACUAAUCUCAGAUUACAAAGUGUUCAUCUCUGUUCUCCCAUCUCCCCGAGACAGACUUUCCAGUGUUUUCUCUUCUGCCACAGCAUGAAGUGUGGCUUUGAGUUGGAAAUGGAUGAAUGUGAACAAAGAUUUCAAAGCUUUAAUAAACCUGACAAGCUAGUGUCAGAUUCUGCCAGAUGAAGAAAUAAGCAGAGAUGGGGACUAAAACAUAUGUGAAAAGUUACUGCAUUGUAUCAUUUCAUUCUGAUCCCUUAUUUUUAAAACACAGAUUGAAACAGUGGGGAAUCUAGGAUAUGCUUUUCCAACUCAAGGCCAGUUUUCUUCCUUCUGCUGUUGAUUUACUGACACCUGGUUUACAUAAUUUUGCAGCCAUUCAGUAGAUGCCACAUCUGAAGAAAUAUUUAUCCCAUGACAUGAGCUCUAAUUCUAGUGUGGGAUUACUGGAUGAUUUGGUGGUUCUUCCCUUAAAUGAGACAAAGUAACUAUAUGAUAAUUGAAACAUUGGAAAGUGCUAAUAUAUGGAAAUAGAACAGAAAAUAAACAGUGCCCAUGUGCAGGGCUAGAUUCUCAGUGAUUCAGUUGGCCCCUGACUCACUGAGGACACAGAUUGAAAGAAAAGGGUGCAAUCUAUUCCCUUCUGAAUUUCCUGGCUAUCAUCAGUAUUUUAUGUGUUACUUGAAUAAGUAAAAAAAUGCAUGGGAUUGGCUGUUCACCCAUGCUGCUUUCCCUUGUACUUUGCAUUUUAUUCAUUUCUUUAAUCUUUGUGCCACUUCUCUUAGAAUAGGCCACACGGGUGUGGAAAAGGAGAUCCUAUUUCAUGACCUAAUCCAAGGCCCCAACAACCUUAAUCCAGCAUCACCCAUGAGUUAGCCAGUUUCUGAGGCUAAACAGUGAAAAUUUAAAUCCCAUGAAGAAUUCAAAAACCUUGAACCAUCUGAAGCCAGAAAUUCAAAGACAGGUAAGCAGGAAUCUCUGUGGCUUGCAAUAAUCACGAUAUAAACUAAAGGCAAUGUCUUCAGAUCAUUUAUAUAUUUCUCUAUGAAAUAUAAACCAACAUCUAUAAAACAAGACCAAUGAUAUGUGGAUUAGUAGCAACAAAAACAAGUCCCUUAUCUGAUUAUGUUCCACAGAAAAGUUUUACUCUAUUAUUUACAAUGGUGAGGGCAAUGAGGGUGCUACUGUAAUUUAGUCCUGCUUGUGGGAUUCCCAGAGGCAACUUGGAUAGCCACUGUUAAAACAGCAUACAAGAGAGACCUUUGGUCUGAUUCUGCAUGGCUUUCCUUUGGGUCUUGGGACCUUUUCGAUAGUGGCAUCCAUUGAAUGGAAUACUUUUCUUAUAGGGCUGGAUUUGGAACUAUCUCACCAAUCUUUUUGGUGCUGGGUGAAGACCGUCCUAAUUGCCCAGGCAUUCCAGAAGAAAUUGUAGGGUUUUUUAAUUUGUAGACUUAUUGCAUUUCAUUACAAUUGUUUUAUUUCUUACAUUGUAGAUAUAUGUUUGUUUCAAUUGUUUUAUUCAAACUUUUGCACACUGCCCAGUCAAUCUCUCAAUGAUGUCAAGAAGUGAUUUAAAUAAAUCAAAAUCUAUUAUACUUGA
This is a long non-coding RNA of Anolis carolinensis (green anole), 2578 nucleotides long. RefSeq lists it as uncharacterized. The transcript is spliced from 3 exons. The record is from RefSeq and is a predicted model, not a curated record. NCBI's taxonomy places the organism in Eukaryota, Metazoa, Chordata, Lepidosauria, Squamata, Anolidae.